RNA transcript from Photinus pyralis (common eastern firefly), 1656 nucleotides. RefSeq lists it as uncharacterized. The record is from RefSeq and is a predicted model, not a curated record. The transcript is spliced from 8 exons. NCBI's taxonomy places the organism in Eukaryota, Metazoa, Arthropoda, Insecta, Coleoptera, Lampyridae.
GUGAAUCGACCUUUAAGGCCCUUUAUAAAUUGUGCUUUUCAUAUUACCUGUUCUGAAAAUAAAGAAAAUGAAUAUAUACUUUCUGAAUUAGUACCUACCUACUGCAGCUAGGUAAUUUAACAGUAAAAGCGUAAACAAGUAGGGGAAAAUACGAUGCUAACGACCACAAAAUUUGUCUACAAUUAUCGUGGAAUAAUAAGUAUAAGUUGUGAUGUCUAUAGAAGCGCAUAUCUCUAAAUUAGAAAGGGAUAUUUUUAAGAUGCAUUUGGCGCCUCUAACAGAAUACUGAUUAAAUCGUAAGUAUAACUUUUUUAUUUAAAUUUUAAAUCGGUAUAAAUGCCAUGUAUUUGACUAGGAAUGAAGAUGGAUCAAUCCGCUUUAGAAAAGGUGUUGAUACACAAAUUCAAUUUCCUUGUCGAGCAUCAUGGGGAAGGAAAUUCGACAAUUAAAAAGGGAUUACGCUCCGAAAUUAUUAAAUUAAUUAGCAAAUCGACAAGCUCGUCCGAUUUUAAAGACAACAUGGCAACCUGGUCAGUGGUAAAAUUUCCCAGUGACAAUUCCGUGGAAGCGGUACCUACGUCGUGGUUGAAUGGGAAUAGAUGUGUAUGGCCGUCCUAUCCACUAAACAGUCAGAAAUUAUUGGAUGCCGUUGAGAAGCAGUCGAGUCCUGGCUGUGAUUGGCAGACGUAUGAUAUAAUUCCUUUUAAAAAUAAUGUUUUUGAUGAUUUCACUGUAGCAAAAAAGAAGGCUGAAAAAGCUCUUGCUACUUCCGACUUAGAAUCAGAUUCACAAGCUUUCGAGGAAAAAAACAAAACGAGCACCAAAAGAAAAAUUAAAUUGAAGAAAGAAUUUAGCUUUUCUUCUGUCGAGGAGGAAUCACUUGAUUUCGUUCCGCCUGAGUUAAAUUUCAAUGAGCUGCCUUCAAGAAAACCUGAUAUAAAUAAUGGUUUUGAGCAUAAAGGACACCGUCCAUCCAAAUCAACUAAAAAGGUCAACAUAAUCCAAGACAUUGAGGUUACUCCAUAUCGAAUUGCAACCACAAGAAACUGUAAUAAUAAUUCUGCUGUAACUUCUACGGAAACGCCGCCUUCUCGAAACACAGGUCGAAACAUUUCGAAUUCAGAUCUGUAUGUAUUAACGUGUAUUGAGCUGGUACCUAUUAUUUUUUUUAGAUCUGCUGACACGGAUUUUAAGAAAGCAAGAAUUAUUACAUGUAGUUGUGGCAGACAUCAGACAAGGUUUAGAUAACAUAGAAGCCAGUUUAUUGAAAGUCCCAGUAGAGAGUGAAAAGGAAAACUCGAUUCUUGCUCAAUUUGAAUUACCCCUAAAUUCUAAGGAAAGUUUAGCGCAUUUUGAAGAAUUUUUCGUAGCAAAUUAGAAUGCAUUUGAAAAGGCAGUUCGUGAAGUGUCAUUAUUGGGCGGAAGACAUAUGUAUGAAUUUAUUUAUCGAUGCGGAAAGAUGUUAAUAACAAAUGGUUUUGCUUCCACAUACAGUUAUUGUGGUAAAAGAAAUAAGGAGGCGUUUAAGGAGCUACAUUUGAACAAACUAAUGAUUCAAGCUGGAUUACGAUUUAAUCCAAAAACAACGCAGAAGGAUGUGGAAAUAGAAAUUUCCAAAUGGCUGCGACGGGCCGCUGAAAGGGCGAAAAAUGAAAC